CCAGACACCAUCCCUAGCUCUCUGACUUCAGAGGUGUUGGGAAUAGUGUCCUAAAGCCAAUCGUCAGUCUGUUAACGGUUGUGCUCAUUUUUGUAUAUGUACAUGAAUUAUGAAUUAAUAAAAAUUAUUUUGGUAUUUUUCAUCACAAAAUGUUUCAUCUUGUAAUGAACUCCUAUGUUGUGGUGAAGUCCUUAGGACUAUUUAGACUCGACAAAGGAGGAUUUAUCGUUUAGUCCUUAAAUCUGUUCGCCACCAAAUGAUA
RNAcentral lists this long non-coding RNA (262 nucleotides) under Elaeis guineensis (African oil palm). RNAcentral describes it as "long non-coding RNA (EGUI_LNC082196)". The record is from RNAcentral. Lineage: Eukaryota; Viridiplantae; Streptophyta; Magnoliopsida; Arecales; Arecaceae.